RNAcentral lists this ribosomal RNA (254 nucleotides) under uncultured bacterium. Its description in RNAcentral is "partial 16S ribosomal RNA". It matches the Rfam family "Bacterial small subunit ribosomal RNA", at positions 524 to 776 of the family's 1533-position model. The record is from RNAcentral.
UACGAGGGGAGCAAGCGUUGUUCGGAUUUACUGGGCGUAAAGGGCGCGUAGGCGGUCGUGACAAGUCACUUGUGAAAUCUCCGGGCUUAACUCGGAACGGUCAAGUGAUACUGUCGGACUAGAGUACAGAAGGGGCAACUGGAAUUCUCGGUGUAGCGGUGAAAUGCGUAGAUAUCGAGAGGAACACCUGAGGUGAAGACGGGUUGCUGGGCUGACACUGACGCUGAGGCGCGAAAGCCAGGGGAGCAAACGGG